This 999-nucleotide ribosomal RNA is filed under the name uncultured bacterium. RNAcentral describes it as "bacterial SSU rRNA". It matches the Rfam family "Bacterial small subunit ribosomal RNA", at positions 355 to 1375 of the family's 1533-position model. The record is from RNAcentral.
UGGGGAAUAUUGGGCAAUGGGCGCAAGCCUGACCCAGCAACGCCGCGUGAAGGAAGAAGGCUUUCGGGUUGUAAACUUCUUUUGUCAGGGACGAGUAGAAGACGGUACCUGACGAAUAAGCCACGGCUAACUACGUGCCAGCAGCCGCGGUAAUACGGAGGAUCCGAGCGUUAUCCGGAUUUAUUGGGUUUAAAGGGAGCGUAGAUGGGUUGUUAAGUCAGUUGUGAAAGUUUGCGGCUCAACCGUAAAAUUGCAAUUGAUACUGGCAGUCUUGAGUACAGUUGAGGUAGGCGGAAUUCGUGGUGUAGCGGUGAAAUGCUUAGAUAUCACGAAGAACUCCGAUUGCGAAGGCAGCUUACUGGAUUGUAACUGACGCUGAUGCUCGAAAGUGUGGGUAUCAAACAGGAUUAGAUACCCUGGUAGUCCACACAGUAAACGAUGAAUACUCGCUGUUGGCGAUAUACUGUCAGCGGCCAAGCGAAAGCAUUAAGUAUUCCACCUGGGGAGUACGCCGGCAACGGUGAAACUCAAAGGAAUUGACGGGGGCCCGCACAAGCGGAGGAACAUGUGGUUUAAUUCGAUGAUACGCGAGGAACCUUACCCGGGCUUAAAUUGCAACUGACGGAACUGGAAACGGUUCUUUCUUCGGACAGUUGUGAAGGUGCUGCAUGGUUGUCGUCAGCUCGUGCCGUGAGGUGUCGGCUUAAGUGCCAUAACGAGCGCAACCCUUAUCGAUAGUUACUAGCAGGUCAUGCUGAGGACUCUAUUGAGACUGCCGUCGUAAGAUGUGAGGAAGGUGGGGAUGACGUCAAAUCAGCACGGCCCUUACGUCCGGGGCUACACACGUGUUACAAUGGGGGGUACAGAAGGCAGCUACACGGCGACGUGGUGCUAAUCCCGAAAGCCUCUCUCAGUUCGGAUUGGAGUCUGCAACCCGACUCCAUGAAGCUGGAUUCGCUAGUAAUCGCGCAUCAGCCACGGCGCGGUGAAUACGUUCCC